CAUAUGUUUCACUGGGGCGGUGGUUCGUUAAAAAGUAACGCGAGCAAUCAAAGGCUUUGUAAAACCUAAACUAGAAAACAAAGCUUAACUGUAAGGAUCACAAGCCAAGCAGAUGUGAAAAGCAGGAAGUAAAGACCCAAUUAAAAUUGUCUUUUAAUUGAUCAACGGAUAAAAGGUACGCUAGGGAUAACAGGCUAGUACGCGCCUAGAGUUCAUAUCGACGCGCGUGUUCGGCACCU
Molecule: ribosomal RNA, 239 nt
Filed under: Chlamydomonas moewusii
Lineage: Eukaryota; Viridiplantae; Chlorophyta; Chlorophyceae; Chlamydomonadales; Chlamydomonadaceae
Description: large subunit ribosomal RNA
Rfam family: Bacterial large subunit ribosomal RNA
Source: RNAcentral